This 254-nucleotide ribosomal RNA is filed under the name uncultured bacterium. RNAcentral describes it as "partial 16S ribosomal RNA". It matches the Rfam family "Bacterial small subunit ribosomal RNA", at positions 524 to 776 of the family's 1533-position model. The record is from RNAcentral.
UACGUAGGCAGCAAGCGUUUGUUCGGAAUUACUGGGCGUAAAGAGUGUGUAGGCGGUGCUCUAAGUUCGGUGUGAAAUCUCCCGGCUCAACUGGGAGGGUGCGCCGAAAACUGGAGUGCUGGAGCGCGGGAGAGGAAAGCGGAAUUCCUGGUGUAGCGGUGAAAUGCGCAGAUAUCAGGAGGAACACCGAUGGCGAAGGCAGCUCGCUGGGACGGUACUGACGCUGAGGCGCGAAAGCGUGGGGAGCAAACAGG